AUGAGAGAGCGAGAGGGAGGAAGUUUCUGCAGGGAAGGGAUUAUGCUGUUUCCUCCCCCUCCCAUUCGCUCUCUUCUAGUGCUCCAUAAACUAUGUUGGAAAAGCUCUAGAAACUUAAACCUGCUCCUCAGGUAUAUGACCCUGCAGACAGGAUUAUGCUCUCUCCGCAUCUGCUGUAUCUUUUUCUGCUCUUCACUUUCUAGCCUUUUUUUUUUUCUUUGGGUCAUGUGGUGAAGGAAGGGCCAAUCUCAUUGGAGAACGGAACGGGGAAACUUACAGCUGCACAAUGCUGAAGCCGGUUUUCUGCCUGACAGGCACUUAAAGCAAUUCCACUCGUGGAUGAGGUAGGGGGUGGCGGGCGGGGAGGGGGGUAAUAGAUCGUUCGCAGGAAGGGGGAAGGUCGUUUCACUUCUUUAGCACCAAGUUUCUGCGUGGGCUAGACAGCAGUUAUUUCAAAACCUAAAAUGGAAUAGACUGUAAAAAAGGUGGAUGCUUCACUCCCUUUAUGAGACUUUAUGAGGCUAAAGGCAUGUGUACGGUGGUGCGACGCACGGGGAGCAAGGGUUACCUCAAGGCUGUUCCGUGGACCAUGCAAACAAGUCUAGACCAGUGACCUGCUCAAUCGCUUCCUCUGAGGGCCAGGCAAGUUCGGUCAGGAAGAAGAAAGCGAGGCGUGCCCUCUUUUCAAUGAGGGAGCAAGGAGGCAGUCGGCGGUGUUUAAGCGAAGCUCCUCAGACUUAGCACAUCUCCACACAGAUGAGCUGAGAGGUCAAUGAGUUCCUUUGCUGCCACAGCGACUGCCAAGUACAACCAGACACACUCUAUUAGAUGCAUUAUAAAACUGUUGAAACUCUCUCUGUCUUUUUCUCUGGCUCUGCUUCUCUCUCUCACUGUUGCAUUAACCAGAAUAAAAAAGAAAUACAUUCUUUUAUUACUUUCAUAAUGCUUUUGACCAGACUUUGUUCAAUAAAGGAAUAAAAUGUGAAUAA
Molecule: long non-coding RNA, 989 nt
Organism: Ctenopharyngodon idella (grass carp)
Lineage: Eukaryota; Metazoa; Chordata; Actinopteri; Cypriniformes; Xenocyprididae
Exons: 3
Source: RefSeq, a predicted model, not a curated record